Meriones unguiculatus (Mongolian gerbil) is the source of this 1869-nucleotide long non-coding RNA. RefSeq lists it as uncharacterized. The record is from RefSeq and is a predicted model, not a curated record. NCBI's taxonomy places the organism in Eukaryota, Metazoa, Chordata, Mammalia, Rodentia, Muridae. The transcript is spliced from 3 exons.
UUACCAGAAAGAUCCGCCCUUGGCAUUAACUGCACCAGGACACCGAAAGCCGCUACUUCCGGCGCAGUGUCCCCUGGGAAAUACAGUCCUCGCUAGCGGAGCCCCAGAACCUUGUACCUUCAGAGAGAUGCCGUCGCGCAACUUGCGGGAGCCCAUCUAGGGUUUGGGGGUGCGCGCUAAAGGGGCGGGUCCCUCCAUAGGGCAAAAGGUACUUCCGGGUUCUUCCUGCACCUCAGUCCCUGGAGCGUGCAGACACUAAGCUUUAAAGUUCCGAAUGGAAACACCUCUUAACUGCUUUUCUGCAAGACAGAUUUCAAUACAGUGGCAAUACCAAUAUGUCUCCUUUUGUAAAUUAAAAAUCAUGUAAACUUCAAGGAAUGAAAGAAGUCCUAAGACUUGGAUCCAGCUCUUACAGAUCAAACGGACUCCAGAGAUUUCCACUUGGCUGAUAGACACCAUCCAGGGAGCACGUGUGGACUGCGAACGGAGCUCUGGACUUGCUGAAAGCUGUCAGAAACCAGUCCUGCUGAUGUAAUGGUUCAGCUGGAUAGGCUAAUCGGAUGCCUCUGAAAAAUGCCCCAUUGCCCAGACUGACUAGCAUUUUCGGCCUUCCUGGGUCCUGACAACUGAUGCUCCAGUUUUAGCUGGAAAUAAUUACAGAAGGAAAUGUAUCGUCCCUGCCCCCUUAACAGGCUGAAAAUGCUAAGUCAAAAGUAAAUUGCCUUUGGGAGAACCUCUUUGUUUUCAUGCCUCUGGGGUAGUCUGAGACACCUUAGCAAAAAUAAAGCAAACCUUGUUGGACAGGAAUGGGUAAAGGAGGCAGAAGGAAGCAGGCCAACAACUGCUUUCAGAAUUUUUUAGACUGGUCCCCUUGGCUAACCACCUUGGUCACUGCUUUAACAGGACAACGGGUCUUCCUUUCCUCUUGCUCCUCAUAGGGCUUUGCAUUUCCAGUGCUUUGGUGACAAUUAUUCAGUCAAGAGUUAACACAGCUAAGCUAAGAACUCAAUAUAAUCCCUUAUACUCUGAAACAAAUAAUCAAGGAUUUUAAAAAUAAUGUAGAAAAACAAGGGAGGUGGUUAUAAGAAGGAACCAAACUGAAGCCGUUUUGAACGAAACUUUCGUUUUUAAUAGGAGUUAAAUAAAGUUUAAGUUCCCAAGACCUUCCUGGGUCCCUGACAUCCUGCUUGGCAGAGAAAUGAACUGCCAUCCUGGUUGGCACGUUGAGACAGGAAUGGUAGGUAAGUCACCCUGCCACCACUGAAUAACCCAACCAAUAGGACUAGGAGGAGUGUACAAAAAAGACAGGGUCCUGAAGAAGUCCCCUAUCCCUAAAUCCUGACUGGCGGGAAAAUGUAACUGUGACUUAGCACAGAUGUUUGUGGUUUUCAAGGUUCAAAGCUCUGUACCAUUCUGGCUCAGGGUCACAGUUCAACGGUCCUGAUUGGAUCAGUAGAGCCACAAUAAAUUUUUGUCAUCUGCGUUGACUUGGUGUUUGAGUCGUGUUGGAUUUAAACAGACCCCACAAUAGCUGGACUAGUUCAUAUUCUUACCAGCAGUGUAUAAGGGUUUGAUUUUGCCCACAACACCAUUUAUUAUUAUUGUAUUUCAUUCUGCCUGAGGUGGGGUGUAAUCUCAAUUCAUAACUUGAAUUUCUCUAAUAGUUAAGAGGGGUUGAUCAUCUUUUCAUGCUUAUUGCUCAUUUGCAUUUCAUCUUUCAAGAACUGUCUGUUCGCUUCGCUAGCCCAUUUACUGAAUGGUUCUUUGAUUUUUUUUGUUGUUCAGUUUUUGGUUUUGUUUUUAGUUCUCUUUAUAUUGUAUUAAUCCUCUGCAAAUGUAUAGUUAAUAAAGAUUCCCCUCUGCUCUCUA